Molecule: ribosomal RNA, 504 nt
Filed under: uncultured bacterium
Lineage: Bacteria
Description: bacterial SSU rRNA
Rfam family: Bacterial small subunit ribosomal RNA
Source: RNAcentral
GACGAACGCUGGCGGCGUGCCUAACACAUGCAAGUCGAACGGAGAUUUACGUCAACACAAAGCUCUUCACGUAAGAGUAAUGUGGAGGGUUUUGAGUUGAUGUAAAUCUUAGUGGCGAACGGGUGAGUAACGCGUGAGCAACCUACCAAGGAGAGGGGGAUAACACAGAGAAAUCUGUGCUAAUACCGCAUAAAGUCACGAUAUCGCAUGGUAUGGUGAUGAAAGGGCUUUUGCCUGCUUCUUGAUGGGCUCGCGUCUGAUUAGCUAGUUGGUAGGGUAACGGCCUACCAAGGCGAUGAUCAGUAGCCGGGCUGAGAGGUUGACCGGCCACAUUGGGACUGAGACACGGCCCAGACCUCCUACGGGAGGCAGCAGUGGGAAUAUUGCGCAAGUGGGGGAACCCUGACGCAGCGACGCCGCGUGAAGGAAGAAGGUCUUCGGAUUGUAAACUUUUGUCUUUGGUGACGAUAAUGACGGUAGCCAAGGAGGAAGCCACGGCUAACG